Molecule: long non-coding RNA, 219 nt
Filed under: Rattus norvegicus (Norway rat)
Lineage: Eukaryota; Metazoa; Chordata; Mammalia; Rodentia; Muridae
Description: long non-coding RNA NONRATT021676
Source: RNAcentral
UUCUUCUGGAAUCAGAAGUAUCCCCUACACAGGCUGCUCUCCCCUCUACCACUCUCCAUUCCUGAAGCAAGAGCCAACGGGUACCUGAGUUGAGCUGGCUGUAGACUUCAGUCGUUGCUAACCUCUGAAAUUUAGUAUGCAGUCCUGUUCAUCUCAUGACAUCUCAUGUUGAGUCUCUAUUGCCUCAGUUUUCCUGUGUCUGCUUUAGACCUGCGCAGG